AGUAACACGUGGGUAACCUGCCCCGAUGACCGGGACAACCCGAGGAAACUCGGGCUAAUACCGGAUGUGCUCGCGAGCCACAAGGCUCGCGCGGAAAGGAAGCUUCGGCCUUCGCAUCGGGAUGGGCCCGCGGCCCAUUAGCUUGUUGGUGGGGUAACGGCCCACCAAGGCUGCGAUGGGUAGCUGGUCUGAGAGGACGAUCAGCCACACUGGGACUGAGACACGGCCCAG
This 231-nucleotide ribosomal RNA is filed under the name uncultured bacterium. RNAcentral describes it as "partial 16S ribosomal RNA". It matches the Rfam family "Bacterial small subunit ribosomal RNA", at positions 109 to 334 of the family's 1533-position model. The record is from RNAcentral.